This is a long non-coding RNA of Pundamilia nyererei, 241 nucleotides long. RefSeq lists it as uncharacterized. The record is from RefSeq and is a predicted model, not a curated record. Lineage: Eukaryota; Metazoa; Chordata; Actinopteri; Cichliformes; Cichlidae. The transcript is spliced from 4 exons.
GCGACACCGCUGCACUCAGACCGCUGCAAAGAUGGAGUUUGCUUGCAGCCAUGUUGUUUGCAACUGGAGUCCAGAUGGACCAGGCGUUUUUCCUAUGGGGCCCGAGUAUGACAACAUAGUGCCAGUAAAACAACAAGCAGAUGAGGUUCCUCCACCGCUGCCCCCUCGUCGACUGAGGAAACCUCGGCCUACUUCUCUUCCUCUUUACAACAAUUCCUCCUUCGAGCCUCCGUCUGCUCCU